This 1316-nucleotide long non-coding RNA is filed under the name Monodelphis domestica (gray short-tailed opossum). RNAcentral's name for it is "lncRNA (ENSMODG00000044073.1)". Lineage: Eukaryota; Metazoa; Chordata; Mammalia; Didelphimorphia; Didelphidae. The record is from RNAcentral.
UGCUUCUCUUUUGUGACAGAGGCUGGCACUAGAGAAAAAGUGCCAGGCUGAAGAGUAUGUGAAAUUGAUCACCUCGAUAGGGGAGGGGCCCCAGGAGUGGAAAUCUGGGAGAGCGAAGACUGGCUGGGAGAGAAGUGAGGAUCUCUCUGUCUUCAGACAUUGAAGAGAGAAGGUGGAUAAAGACUUUCUCCUGAGGGUUACCCAUUUUUCCUGCUGGUGACUGGAAAUCUUUCCCCCCAACACUUCCCAAUUGAAGGGACUUCUGAAGAGAAACCUGAGCAUACUUUACCUCAGCUCCUGUUGCCCAGGGGAUGAGAUGCAGAGCAGAAGCCAGCACAUCCCUGCCCAUCUCUGGUCUUGAUAUCUUCUACUUCUCAGCUUUUAUUCCAAAAGAGAAGCUCUCUGAAUCUGAGUUUGAACCUGUUCAAUCUGGAGCAAAUCGUUCCAUCUUCUGGUGCCACAUUUCACCAGAGAGGAAAUCAUCCCAGGCCCAAGCCCCCCUUCUCAAGGGGAGAUUUUAAGGGUGGAUUCAUGAGCAAAAGGAACUAUUUCACCAUAAGGCAGGAGGAGGAUGAGGAAGAAAAGAGGAAUUUUUCAAACUGCACUCCUUUGGUCUGGACUUCAUCAUCAAGCACUUUCCCUCCGCACCCCUUUUCACAGGCUUCUUUUGUCAGAAGACAUUCACCAACCACACAAAAUUACAAAAAGGAGGGAGGCAAGUUGAAAUUCCUGUUUCCUGGGAGUUAUAGUAACCAAGGUAAGACUACCGCUGGGGGCAAUUGCACAUUUUCCAAUCUGUGUGGAAACCUGUUCACUUUUCCAUUUAGUGGUUAAGGUUGAGUGGGGAGGAGCAGCAGUGCCUUGAAUCUCUGGAAACUCUUUUCAAAGAAUUAACCCAAAGCUUAAUUAGCAACAAUUUCCAGCUUAAUCAAAGCAUAGAUUUAUUACUUAUGGUCACAAGAGAGAGAGUUUUACAUCACCAAAAGGAAUACUGUGAAAGAGCUUUUCAUCCAACAGAACAAGGCUAAAUAUCUUUAUGUUCUUUAAACAAACAAACAAACAAAAUCAAAGGAAAGUCUUAGACUAGAUUGUGGAGGUAUCUAGAGUUAGGAGAUGAAUGGAUAUAUAAAAAUUGGACAAGAUUAAGGAAGUAUUCACUUUAUCAUGAGCAUGUUGCUUCCUCUGAUUAAAACAUAAGCUUCUUGAAGACAAGUUUUCAUUUCAUUUUUGUCUUUUUAUUUCCAGGGCCUAGGAUAAUAACCAAAACAUAAUAGCUGAUCAAUAAAUGCUUUCUAAUAAAUUAAUUUCUUAAUUCU